GACAGCGAUUUCACUGACUUCAGUACUCAACAAAGCACCUUUCUAAACCAGUACAAUAAUAUCCAACAGUGACUUCACUUACACCAACUACGGCGAAUUACCACAGGACAGAUUUAAAUUUCGAGCCUCUUAUCGAAUGUAUUGAGGUCUAUCGACACAACUAUCCACUUCCGGGAGUUUGCAGACACGUGACUCCGUAGGAGGGAGUCUGCCUUCGCGCUCGUGUCCCUCCUCUUUGUGUACACUUCAGCCAAUCAUUGCAUGCAGCCGUCAUCGCAAAUCCCAAAAAGGUGGAACUUCCAAAAUAAACCAUCGCCCACGACAGGCGGAGCUGCUACACCAGCCCGGGAUUCCUUCUUCCAGCCCGGGUGGAGGAUUCAGCAGCGACCCUCCCAGGAAGUCAAUGAGCGUCACUGCUGAGGUGGGAACGCCAUAGUCAGGCCAGCUGAGUGAAAGGUUCCGGGCGGCGGUUCUUUGCGGAGCUCCUCAUACUCUUGAUGGAUUCCUGAGCGCUGAAGCCUGCCGAGGUAUGUCAGCAGCUCCUGCGGGCGCAUGGACUCCGGUCCGGGGACAUGAAUGGAAGC
Molecule: long non-coding RNA, 584 nt
Organism: Scatophagus argus
Lineage: Eukaryota; Metazoa; Chordata; Actinopteri; Scatophagidae
Exons: 3
Source: RefSeq, a predicted model, not a curated record